Molecule: long non-coding RNA, 321 nt
Filed under: Nicotiana benthamiana
Lineage: Eukaryota; Viridiplantae; Streptophyta; Magnoliopsida; Solanales; Solanaceae
Description: long non-coding RNA (NBEN_LNC035554)
Source: RNAcentral
ACAAAGCCUUUGCAUGGCACUGUGCUUCAUCCCUUGUUGCUCAAGUUGCAGGUGGUCUCCCCCUCCAACUUGUGGGGGGGUGUUGAGAUGAGAGAUUAUAUGGCUUCCAAGCCAAAGCAUAAGUGACAUAAACUUGUAUAUCCAUUGUAUAUUCAUUGUAUAUUUACUGUAUACUCAUGGUAUACCUUGUAAUGGGCUAUGAUGAUUGAUGCUGCUGGACUGUGUAUCUGAGCCCACAUUUAUUUAGUUUUGGGCCGGCUCACCCGACCCGACCCAAUAGUGAAUUGUAUAUAUAGUAUCGGGGCAGAUAUUUUUACACAC